AGCCGCGGUUAUUCCAGCUCGCGAAAUGCAUAGAAUUAUUGCUGCGGUUAAAAAGCUCGUAGUUGGAUCUGUGCCGGCGUGUCGGUCCACCUCCGGGUGCGCACUGGCAGCCGUCGGCUUUCCUGCAGUCUUGUCGGCUCGGCUGCCCUUCAUUGGGUGCCAUGUCCGGUGCUGCAAGUUUACUUUGAACAAAUCAGAGUGCUCUAAACAGGCGUUUCGCUUGAAUGUUCGUGCAUGGAAUAAUAGAAGUGGAUCACGGUUCUAUUUUAUUGGUUUUAUAGACCGAGAUAAUGGUUAACAGAGACAAACGGGGGGCAUUCGUAUUGCUACGUGAGAGGUGAAAUUCUUGGACCGUAGCCAGACGAACUACAGCGAAAGCAUUUGCCAAGAAUGUCUUCAUUAAUCAAGAACGAAAGUCAGAGGUUCGAAGGCGAUCAGAUACCGCCCUAGUU
Molecule: ribosomal RNA, 452 nt
Filed under: Pratylenchus delattrei
Lineage: Eukaryota; Metazoa; Nematoda; Chromadorea; Rhabditida; Pratylenchidae
Description: SSU rRNA
Rfam family: Eukaryotic small subunit ribosomal RNA
Source: RNAcentral